Molecule: ribosomal RNA, 353 nt
Filed under: uncultured soil bacterium
Lineage: Bacteria
Description: bacterial SSU rRNA
Rfam family: Bacterial small subunit ribosomal RNA
Source: RNAcentral
CAGCCGCGGUAAUACGUAGGGGGCAAGCGUUGUCCGGAUUUAUUGGGCGUAAAGAGCGUGUAGGCGGUUAGGUAGGUCCGUUGUGAAAACUCGAGGCUCAACCUCGAGACGCCGAUGGAAACCAUCUAACUAGAGUCCGGAAGAGGAGAGUGGAAUUCCUGGUGUAGCGGUGAAAUGCGCAGAUAUCAGGAAGAACACCCGUGGCUAAGGCGGCUCUCUAGUACGGUACUGACGCUGAGACGCGAAAGCGUGGGGAGCGAACAGGAUUAGAUACCCUGGUAGUCCACGCCGUAAACGAUGGGUGCUAGGUGUAGGGGGUGUCGACUCCCUCUGUGCCGAAGCUAACGCAUUAA